This 387-nucleotide unclassified non-coding RNA is filed under the name Hevea brasiliensis (rubber tree). The record is from RNAcentral. Lineage: Eukaryota; Viridiplantae; Streptophyta; Magnoliopsida; Malpighiales; Euphorbiaceae.
GGGUUUGUGGAUAAAUAAUAUUAGAGUAUUUUUAUGGUAGAUGUGCAUAGAAUACCAAAAAGCAUUGCCAUAUCGCUCCUGUGAGAUGCUGAGAUUGGCCCCUAAUUUUGGCUGCUGGAGAAGUUGAUGCUAGUGGGAGUUUUUCUUUUGGCCUCAGUAGAGUGUCGGUUUGCAAGAUAUCAAAUGGUGUGAGGUCUUCACAUCUAUGGCUUCCUAAUUUCUGGCGUUGAUUGAUGAGUGAUUCUGCUUGGAGCUAUGGCGACGGCUAGGUUUCUCUUCUUCUCUUGUAAAGAAGAUGGUUCCCGAAUCUACUACUUGGUUCCAGUUCAAUAUUUUCUUUGUUAUUUCGUUAUUGUGGCUCUGUUUAUAAUGGUUUUUACUAAAUGA